ACAGAGGGGCCACAGUGAGGUUUGAGGCAUGUGUCCUCAUGACUGGAAGGACCCAGGGCAGGCCAGAUGCCCUAGGAUGCAAGAUGGAAGAGGGUAGGUGCCAGGAAGAACAGCUGCAGUAUGGUGAGUGGGCGGAGGAGGAAGAGCUUGCUUUUGGCUGGGAUGCUGGCCUUCCAGAGGAGGUGGCAAUUGUGGUGGGCUCUGAAGGAUGGGUCAUAUGUGGGAGUAAUGAACAUGGCCUGGGAGAGUGUGGGCAUGCCUGGCUAGAGCCAGUGGUUUAUUUGGCUUUGAGCUAUGGGGCAGAUUCUAUUUUCCAAAGAUGAUCCCAACAAUAUCUCCCAUGCCACACACUUUUCUCCUCAUCAAGAGGUGGAGUUGAAUUCCCCUCCCUCUGAAUCGUGCAGCUGGUGACUUGUAUGUUGCCACUGGAGUCCAGUGGAAGUGACACUGCGGGACUUGCAAUGCUGGGGCAAUAAAGGAGUUGCAGCUUCUGCCUUGAGAGUGGGAAUACUCGCACAGAGCCCCGAGCCCCCACUUGAGAAUCCCACCACCCUGCGCCAGCCAUGCCCUGGGGAAGCCACACUGAGGAGCAGCCACACUGAGGGGCUCUGGAGGGCAGUCCUAGUCCUAGUCAUCCCCCUAGCCCAGGAGACUCCAGCAGCGGGAACCCACUAGAAGGUCUGCUGGAGGAAAUGGCUUACUUCAGGCUGUGCUUUCAGAAGAGGAAUCGGCAGCAAAAUCCAGGACAGAGUGGUGGCUUGUGGCUGGAGGGUGGGACGGGGAGACUGAUGAAGUGCAUUUUGGGCUGCUUUCCAUGAGAAGCGAUCUCAGGUGAGCUGUGGCUGCAGGCAUGGAAAGGAAGGGCCAUUGCAAGAGAUGCUGCUGUGCAAGAACAGACAGGGUUCCCUCCUCACCUCUGCAGCUCCCCGCCCAAAUCCCACAUAACCCGUAUCACAUGACGUUCUUUGAAACCUGGCUGGCACAGGCUGUAAAAAGCAGGGCUUUCGGCUUCAUUUAGGCCUACAGUUCCUCAUGGACCAUGAGGUUAUGUGUGUGAUAGUGGAUAGAGCCCUCAGGAGCAGCUGAGUGGGUAACAAAGGUGGUCAUCAGAUUUUGACAUGUGAAGGACACAAGGACCAACUGCUGUGAUGGAUCUGGGAGGACAGGCAGGCAGCAGUCUCCCUAAAAGCACUGAAGUAAGAUGGGCUGCUUUAUAGCCUACCCA
Molecule: long non-coding RNA, 1225 nt
Filed under: Homo sapiens (human)
Lineage: Eukaryota; Metazoa; Chordata; Mammalia; Primates; Hominidae
Description: HSALNT0353230
Source: RNAcentral